Molecule: long non-coding RNA, 345 nt
Filed under: Coturnix japonica (Japanese quail)
Lineage: Eukaryota; Metazoa; Chordata; Aves; Galliformes; Phasianidae
Description: lncRNA (ENSCJPG00005020291.1)
Source: RNAcentral
CGCACCGUUCUGCUGAAUCAAAUGCUUAAACUUCAGUACACACGCUGAUGUAAAACAUUGCCUAUGUAUUGGUCACAGUUCUAGGGAUCUCAUCCACCAACUGUGAAACAUUCACCUGAUCCAUCUUCUCACUUCAAAGAAAGACCACAGUUAUCUUGAUGAUGGAAUACCAUACCAGCUCUUUGACACACCACUGAAUCUCCAGUCUUGACUGUUUGGGGCUAAGUCCAUCAUGCUGGGCUGCCCGCAGGAUGAACUCUAACAUUUCACUGGGCAGUUGUGGGAGGUAGCCAACAACAACCUAUCCAAACCUACUGCUUGAAGACCACCACAUUGUGACAAACA